Molecule: ribosomal RNA, 508 nt
Filed under: uncultured Bifidobacterium sp.
Lineage: Bacteria; Bacillati; Actinomycetota; Actinomycetes; Bifidobacteriales; Bifidobacteriaceae
Description: bacterial SSU rRNA
Rfam family: Bacterial small subunit ribosomal RNA
Source: RNAcentral
CUCCUGGAAACGGGUGGUAAUGCCGGAUGUUCCAGUUGAUCGCAUGGUCUUCUGGGAAAGCUUUCGCGGUAUGGGAUGGGGUCGCGUCCUAUCAGCUUGACGGCGGGGUAACGGCCCACCGUGGCUUCGACGGGUAGCCGGCCUGAGAGGGUGACCGGCCACAUUGGGACUGAGAUACGGCCCAGACUCCUACGGGAGGCAGCAGUGGGGAAUAUUGCACAAUGGGCGCAAGCCUGAUGCAGCGACGCCGCGUGAGGGAUGGAGGCCUUCGGGUUGUAAACCUCUUUUAUCGGGGAGCAAGCGUGAGUGAGUUUACCCGUUGAAUAAGCACCGGCUAACUACGUGCCAGCAGCCGCGGUAAUACGUAGGGUGCAAGCGUUAUCCGGAAUUAUUGGGCGUAAAGGGCUCGUAGGCGGUUCGUCGCGUCCGGUGUGAAAGUCCAUCGCUUAACGGUGGAUCCGCGCCGGGUACGGCGGUCUUGAAUGCAUUAUGGUAGACCUCAAUCCUU